Long non-coding RNA from Sinocyclocheilus grahami, 340 nucleotides. RefSeq lists it as uncharacterized. NCBI's taxonomy places the organism in Eukaryota, Metazoa, Chordata, Actinopteri, Cypriniformes, Cyprinidae. The transcript has 3 exons. The record is from RefSeq and is a predicted model, not a curated record.
GUUUGUGAAAGUGCCAUUCAAAGACUCCAAGAAAUUCAUAAAGUUGCAGAAUGGAUUCUCUUUUACAGAUUUCAUAAAUGAAUAUGGUGCUAGCUGCCUUGAAAGAAAAAUCAAAAGGAGAUGAAGUCCUUGAAGAGUACAUGGCCACCGAUACCUUGUCAAAUGAAAUGAGAAGAGCGCUUGUUAACAUACUGGUGGGGCACAUGACAGAGAGGCAUGGGAGGAUUCCAACCCAGAAGCAGAGAGAGCAGUAUGCCCUUGGAAUUGUGACUUUGUUUCCAUCAUUGAAAGACCCAUUUUCCAAGAAGGGAUAUGUCAGACUUUUUCCAUGAAAUUAUCA